This is a long non-coding RNA of Amphiprion ocellaris (clown anemonefish), 416 nucleotides long. The record is from Ensembl. Lineage: Eukaryota; Metazoa; Chordata; Actinopteri; Pomacentridae.
GGAAACAAAUGAGAGCUGAGACGGAGCUGGUGGUAGACAAGGCAGGGAACAGCAGGAAUCCAGGGAGCACUGGUCCGCACAGUGUGUCCUGCAGUAACAAAGUGGAUGUGUGCAACACUGCCCCAUCCAAAACAGCAGGACUCGACAUCAUGUGGUGUAUUCGUGUGCAAGCUUGCAGAACAAAUUCUACAGAAAAGGAGAUACAGUAUCCUGUAGACCAGGAGGGCGUGGCCAGGCUAAGGCUCGACAUAGCAAUAUCAUUGCUGAAAGAUUCAGGUAAACCUGAGGAGAUUGAGUGCACCACCUGUGGGAGGUGGUACCAUAUGUCUUGUGUGGGGCAUCCACCUACAGAUGGGGACUACCACUGCAAUAGCUGCCAAUAAAUAUGUUAAAUCAAAAGGAAAUGCUGUCUUUUC